RNAcentral lists this long non-coding RNA (826 nucleotides) under Danio rerio (zebrafish). RNAcentral describes it as "lncRNA (ENSDARG00000117429.1)". Lineage: Eukaryota; Metazoa; Chordata; Actinopteri; Cypriniformes; Danionidae. The record is from RNAcentral.
GAUUUUAGCAAAUGGCCGCAAUAGAACAAAGAGUGGGUCUGAAUACUUUUUGUACCCACUGGAAGUCUUAUUUGUUUAACAGACCUGAUCAGCCUGACCUUGAGCUAAGAGUUACUUUGUGCUGGUUUGUUGCCGGGUGAAAUGUUUUUUUUUUCAAUAAUUGUCUCAUUUGUCAGUCUUAUUUCAAGGUGUACUAAGGAGACUGAAGUUUGUCCUGCAGUUUAUUCCUCUGGUGUGUUUGUGUGUUCAGUGUGAGAUCAGGAUCAUGUGUGUCCAGCUCUGUGUCUCUGAAGAGUGACUGGUCAAUGAAUCAUCCACCAUACCUCGGAGAGAAAACACCAUCAUCUGCCCAAAGGUAUUUAGUGUUUUACAUAGUUGCUCACACAUGGAUUGUACUGAACAAUUUUUGGAACCAACAGUUCAGUAAAGAGAGUCAUACCUGAAUGAAUCAGUUGUGUGAAUGAAUCAAUGACUUUGGUGUCUCAUUUACAUUGUAUUACAUGUAUUAUUACAGUAGUUUCACCUGUUAACAGUGUUGAAUAUGAGUCAGCAGAUUCAGGAGACGAGACUCACAGGAGACACAAGAGCUUCACAGACAAUCUCCAGUGGAUCUUCCAGAAUCUUGAGAGCAAAAUGAUCAGAUUUCUGAAGAAUGAACUGGAAAAGUUUAUGAAAAUCUUACAAGACAAAAACAGACAAGAGUUUGUAAAAGACUUUAAAGAGAACAGAAGCAUUAUCACAGAAGCAGCUCUUGAUCUCACACUCUUCUUCCUGAGAGAGAUGAAGCAAGAUCAAGCUGCUGAUACUCUCCAGGGUAAGAGAGUCA